AACCGCAGCCAGUGCCUAGCGCAAGGUUAGGUGCAUGCAGGCGGCCAGCUUCGGCCGGGGAAGGAAUGGCCUGGAUAACUGGGGCAUCGCGGCGCUCCUCGGCCUCCUGCAGCUGCGUUUCAAAGCAGAGCCGACCCUUGAUCACCAUCUUUGACAAGCUAUACCUACUAAAAGAUGUGAAGCAGACACCUACAUUCCAUGACUCAACUGUAAAGAGAACACAAAGCUC
RNAcentral lists this long non-coding RNA (229 nucleotides) under Homo sapiens (human). RNAcentral describes it as "non-protein coding lnc-CPSF2-5:3". Lineage: Eukaryota; Metazoa; Chordata; Mammalia; Primates; Hominidae. The record is from RNAcentral.